RNAcentral lists this transfer RNA (72 nucleotides) under Bos taurus (domestic cattle). It matches the Rfam family "tRNA". Rfam says of the family: Transfer RNA (tRNA) molecules are approximately 80 nucleotides in length. Lineage: Eukaryota; Metazoa; Chordata; Mammalia; Artiodactyla; Bovidae. RNAcentral also lists the same sequence under 1 other name. The record is from Rfam by way of RNAcentral.
UCCCUGAUAGCUCAGUUGGUAAAGAAUCCGCCUGCAAUGCAGGAGACCCUGGUUUGAUUCCUGGGCUGGGAG